GUGGGGAAUUUUGGACAAUGGGCGCAAGCCUGAUCCAGCAAUGCCGCGUGCAGGAAGAAGGCCUUCGGGUUGUAAACUGCUUUUGUACGGAACGAAACGGCUCUGGUUAAUACCCGGGGCUAAUGACGGUACCGUAAGAAUAAGCACCGGCUAACUACGUGCCAGCAGCCGCGGUAAUACGUAGGGUGCAAGCGUUAAUCGGAAUUACUGGGCGGAAAGCGUGCGCAGGCGGUUUUGUAAGACAGGCGUGAAAUCCCCGGGCUCAACCUGGGAAUGGCGCUUGGGACUGCAAAGCUGGAGUGCGGCAGAGGGGGAUGGAAUUCCGCGUGUAGCAGUGAAAUGCGUAGAUAUGCGGAGGAACACCGAUGGCGAAGGCAAUCCCCUGGGCCUGCACUGACGCUCAUGCACGAAAGCGUGGGGAGCAAACAGGAUUAGAAACCCUGGUAGUCC
RNAcentral lists this ribosomal RNA (450 nucleotides) under uncultured bacterium. Its description in RNAcentral is "partial 16S ribosomal RNA". It matches the Rfam family "Bacterial small subunit ribosomal RNA", at positions 354 to 796 of the family's 1533-position model. The record is from RNAcentral.